UACAGAGGUCUCGAGCGUUAGGCGGAAUCACUGGGCUUAAAGCGUGUGUAGGCGGGUCGUUAAGUGCCUUGUGAAAUCCCAUGGCUCAACCAUGGAACUGCUGGGCAUACUGGCGAUCUUGUGCAACCUAGGGGCGAGCGGAACAGAUGGUGGAGCGGUGAAAUGCGUAGAUAUCGUUUGGAACGCCAAUGGUGAAAACAGGUCGCUGGGGAUGAGCUGACGCUGAGACACGAAAGCCAGGGGAGCAAACGGG
This 253-nucleotide ribosomal RNA is filed under the name uncultured prokaryote. RNAcentral describes it as "partial 16S ribosomal RNA". It matches the Rfam family "Bacterial small subunit ribosomal RNA", at positions 524 to 776 of the family's 1533-position model. The record is from RNAcentral.